This 498-nucleotide ribosomal RNA is filed under the name uncultured bacterium. RNAcentral describes it as "partial 16S ribosomal RNA". It matches the Rfam family "Bacterial small subunit ribosomal RNA", at positions 28 to 523 of the family's 1533-position model. The record is from RNAcentral.
GAUGAACGCUAGCGGCAGGCUUAACACAUGCAAGUCGAGGGGUAACAGGGUGCUUGCACCGCUGACGACCGGCGCACGGGUGCGUAACGCGUAUACAAUCUACCUUAUAGAGGGGGAUAGCCCAGAGAAAUUUGGAUUAAUACCCCAUAGUACUUAGAUUCAGCAUUGGAUUUAGGUUAAACAUUUAUGGCUAUAAGAUGAGUAUGCGUCCUAUUAGUUAGUUGGUAAGGUAACGGCUUACCAAGACCGCGAUAGGUAGGGGUCCUGAGAGGGAGAUCCCCCACACUGGGACUGAGACACGGACCAGACUCCUACGGGAGGCAGCAGUGAGGAAUAUUGGACAAUGGGCGAGAGCCUGAUCCAGCCAUGCCGCGUGCAGGAAGACGGCCCUAUGGGUUGUAAACUGCUUUUAUACGGGAAGAAACACCUCUUCGUGAAGGGGCUUGACGGUACCGUAAGAAUAAGGAUCGGCUAACUCCGUGCCAGCCGCCGCCGUAA